AGCUUUGUCAGAUGUCGAAGCGCAUAUUGGAAUAGAUGCCAUUCUUCCAGCAGCGGAGUUUGGUAUCGUCUUUGCUCGUGAACCAUCAGAUGUUGGGAGAGUCUCCGAGGUCGCCAUUACCGCUUUGGGCGCGUGGCUGCCGCUGUUGUUCCGAGGAACUUCAGUCUGAGGACUAAUCUUGGCAUCAGAGAUUUCGAAGUCCUGGGCUCCGAUUGUGGGCGAAUUUCCGGUCUUUACGAGACCGUGUGGCUAACGACGGGGUUUACCACGUCGUUGGUCGAAUAUUUUGCUAUUUGUUGAUUGAAAAAGUAUAUCGAUCCUUGGUUUGGUGCAGGCUGGCCAUUCCUAUCAUCUGGAUCAACCACAACUCUCAGUGGUGGAUCACUCGGUUCGCGCUUCGAUGAAGAACGCAGCAAAAUGCGACAAGCCGCGUGAAUUGCAGACUUUGCAAUCGCUGGCUCUUUGAACGCACAUGGCGGUCGGAGGGGCUCUGCCUUUUCGACCGUAUCUGGAUCAGGGUUCAUCGUUCAUUUAUCUUGUCGCCACGCGGCAAUGACACUG
RNAcentral lists this unclassified non-coding RNA (561 nucleotides) under uncultured eukaryote. Its description in RNAcentral is "partial contains 18S rRNA, ITS1, 5.8S rRNA, ITS2 and 28S rRNA". The stretch from base 366 to 522 matches the Rfam family "5.8S ribosomal RNA". The record is from RNAcentral.